RNAcentral lists this unclassified non-coding RNA (397 nucleotides) under Hevea brasiliensis (rubber tree). The record is from RNAcentral. Lineage: Eukaryota; Viridiplantae; Streptophyta; Magnoliopsida; Malpighiales; Euphorbiaceae.
GAAGAUGGUAAAAAAAUAACAAGGUAUGGUUAUUAAGAUAGACUUUGGACAUCACUUUCUAACAUGUCUUGUUCAUAAUGAUUAAACCAUGACCUUUAUGCGAAUUAUUGAUUUUAGGUCAAUUCUUUUAAUUUUAUCAAUUUGUACUUGAAACUUUCACAUUGGUUUCAAUUUUAGCAAUCAAUUUAAUUGAAUAGCCAAUUGAUAAAAAAAAUCCAAACCUUUGCCCACAUUAUUAAUUUUAUUCAAUCCUUCUAAUUUAAUUCAAAACCUCUUACAUUUAUAUCAAUUUUAGCAAUCAAACUCUAAUUAAAAAAGCAUUGUAUUAUGGAAUCAAUAAAAUAUUAUUGUUUUUAAUUAGCUUACAUUUUUAUCUCUUCCCUCACCUCCUUUCCCG